Molecule: ribosomal RNA, 394 nt
Filed under: Stramenopiles sp. MAST-12A
Lineage: Eukaryota
Description: partial small subunit ribosomal RNA
Rfam family: Eukaryotic small subunit ribosomal RNA
Source: RNAcentral
AUUCCAGCUCCAAUAGCGUAUAUUAAUGUUGUUGCAGUUAAAAAGCUCGUAGUUGAAUUUCUGGACUCAUCUUUCGGUCCGAGGCCUUGUGCUUUGCGUACUGUUCUCGAUGGGUUCAUCUUAGUAGGGAACCAUUCUGGUAUUAACUUAUUGGGGUGUGGAACUGCUUCGUUUACUGUGAAUAAAAUAGAGUGUUUAAAGCAGGCAUUACGCCUUGAAUACUUCAGCAUGGAAUAAAAUGAUAGGACCUAGGUCUAUUUUUAUUGGUUAUGUUAACUAGGUAAUGAUUAAUAGGGACAGUUGGGGGUAUUCAUAUUUGAUUGUCAGAGGUGAAAUUCUUGGAUUUAUGAAAGAUGAACUUAUGCGAAAGCAUUUACCAAGGAUGUUUUCAUUA